UACGUAGGGUCCGAGCGUUGUCCGGAAUUAUUGGGCGUAAAGAGCUCGUAGGCGGUUUGUCACGUCUGCUGUGAAAGCCCGAGGCUCAACCUCGGGUCUGCAGUGGGUACGGGCAGACUUGAGUGCGGUAGGGGAGAACGGAAUUCCUGGUGUAGCGGUGGAAUGCGCAGAUAUCAGGAGGAACACCGAUGGCGAAGGCAGUUCUCUGGGCCGUUACUGACGCUGAGGAGCGAAAGCGUGGGGAGCGAACAGG
This 253-nucleotide ribosomal RNA is filed under the name uncultured bacterium. RNAcentral describes it as "partial 16S ribosomal RNA". It matches the Rfam family "Bacterial small subunit ribosomal RNA", at positions 524 to 776 of the family's 1533-position model. The record is from RNAcentral.